Long non-coding RNA from Syzygium oleosum, 363 nucleotides. RefSeq lists it as uncharacterized. NCBI's taxonomy places the organism in Eukaryota, Viridiplantae, Streptophyta, Magnoliopsida, Myrtales, Myrtaceae. The record is from RefSeq and is a predicted model, not a curated record. The transcript is spliced from 2 exons.
AGAUUCCAGAGAUUCCUGAUGAGUAACCAGUGUAGGGAACUUCCCUGUGAUUGUAAAGCAGAGAAUGGUGGGUCAGGAGUGAAUCAUGAACGGGCAACCCUUCCAAAUGCAUAAUGAAAGGUCAUUCAUCCAUAUCCCAAUGAACUGCAAAAGAUGAAGGCACCGUAUUCGAGGGGAGAGUCUCCAUAUAAAGGACCCAUGAAGUAAAUGAAUCAAAUUUAGACACAAAGGAACUUGCCUGCCUUGUUUAGACCAGGGCCUAGAAGACGGGGGAUCUGCUUAAUUACAGCUUCUGAAGCCAAAAAGGCAUGGUACUUCUUUGCCAGUUUCUUGACCAGUUUUUUGUUCUUGUUAAGCUUCUUC